ACCUGGCUGGUUCAGUCAGUACAGCAUGUGACUCCUGAUCUCAGGGUCGUGAGUUUGAGCCUCACGUUGGGCA
Molecule: transfer RNA, 73 nt
Filed under: Felis catus (domestic cat)
Lineage: Eukaryota; Metazoa; Chordata; Mammalia; Carnivora; Felidae
Also listed under: 1 other name
Source: Rfam by way of RNAcentral